This 306-nucleotide ribosomal RNA is filed under the name Triticum aestivum (bread wheat). Its description in RNAcentral is "partial small subunit ribosomal RNA". The record is from RNAcentral. Lineage: Eukaryota; Viridiplantae; Streptophyta; Magnoliopsida; Poales; Poaceae.
AUGGUUGGUGAACAAAUACAUAUGUACAAAAAGUCUGCACAAAUAGAUAUGUUCAAUGGAAAUACACAAAAUAAUAGUCCUAGGCAUCCAAGAUACAGUACUGUGUGCCAUAGAUAUAGCCUAAAAUCUAACUCUGAGUCUCUAGAUAAUGUGAACCUGUGCUUAAUUAUAAAACUUGUGAUUCAAAAUCACAUGAGCAAGUUUCAGAUUUAUAAAUAUACUCAUGCUUUCCGAUUAACCAUCCCAGCUAAAACACCCAAGAAAUAUAUCAUGUUGACAACUUUACUACUUGCUUGCAGAAAGUGA